RNAcentral lists this ribosomal RNA (398 nucleotides) under uncultured bacterium. Its description in RNAcentral is "partial 16S ribosomal RNA". It matches the Rfam family "Bacterial small subunit ribosomal RNA", at positions 523 to 918 of the family's 1533-position model. The record is from RNAcentral.
AUACGUAGGGUGCGAGCGUUGUCCGGAAUUACUGGGCGUAAAGAGCUCGUAGGUGGUUUGUCGCGUCGUCUGUGAAAUUCCGGGGCUUAACUCCGGGCGUGCAGGCGAUACGGGCAUAACUUGAGUACUGUAGGGGAGACUGGAAUUCCUGGUGUAGCGGUGAAAUGCGCAGAUAUCAGGAGGAACACCGGUGGCGAAGGGUGGUUUCUGGGAUGUAACUGACGCUGAGGAGCGAAAGCAUGGGUAGCGAACAGGAUUAGAUACCCUGGUAUUCCAUGCCGUAAACGGUGGGCGCUAGGUGUAGGGGUCAUCCACGACUUCUUGGCCGUAGCUAACGCAUGAAGCGCCCCGCCUGGGGAGUACGGCCGCAAGGCUAAAACUCAAAGGAAUUGACGGGG